ACGUAGGGUGCGAGCGUUGUCCGGAAUUAUUGGGCGUAAAGGGCUCGUAGGCGGUUUGUCGCGUCGGGAGUGAAAACCAGGUGCUUAACACCUGGCUUGCUUUCGAUACGGGCAGACUAGAGGUAUUCAGGGGAGAACGGAAUUCCUGGUGUAGCGGUGAAAUGCGCAGAUAUCAGGAGGAACACCGGUGGCGAAGGCGGUUCUCUGGGAAUGACCUGACGCUGAGGAGCGAAAGUGUGGGGAGCGAACAGGA
RNAcentral lists this ribosomal RNA (253 nucleotides) under uncultured prokaryote. RNAcentral describes it as "partial 16S ribosomal RNA". It matches the Rfam family "Bacterial small subunit ribosomal RNA", at positions 525 to 777 of the family's 1533-position model. The record is from RNAcentral.